Molecule: ribosomal RNA, 375 nt
Filed under: Tricholoma sp. BAB-3986
Lineage: Eukaryota; Fungi; Basidiomycota; Agaricomycetes; Agaricales; Tricholomataceae
Description: eukaryotic LSU rRNA
Rfam family: 5.8S ribosomal RNA (bases 1-104)
Source: RNAcentral
UUAUGCGAUACCUGGUGUGAAUUGCAGAAUUCAGUGAAUCAUCGAAUCUUUGAACGCACCUUGCGCUCCUUGGUAUUCCGAGGAGCAUGCCUGUUUGAGUGUCAUGAAAUUCUCAACCUUUGUUACUUUUUUGUUUCAAAGUGUUUGGAUGUGGGAGUUGCUGGCUUUUUGUGUUCAAAGAGUCAGCUCUUCUGAAAUACAUUAGUGGGACCCAUCGUUGAUUUAGCCCCUGGUGUGAUAGUUAUCUACGCCGUGGCUUAGCACGAUAUUGUGUGGUUCAGCUUUCUAACAGGACAAUUAACUGUCUUUGAUCAUUUUGACCUCAAAUCAGGUAGGACUACCCGCUGAACUUAAGCAUAUCAAUAAGCGGAGGAA